RNAcentral lists this ribosomal RNA (486 nucleotides) under uncultured bacterium. Its description in RNAcentral is "partial 16S ribosomal RNA". It matches the Rfam family "Bacterial small subunit ribosomal RNA", at positions 28 to 507 of the family's 1533-position model. The record is from RNAcentral.
GAUGAACGCUGGCGGCGUGCUUAACACAUGCAAGUCGAACGGGAUCCAAGGAGCGUUUUUCGUUUUUUGGUGAGAGUGGCGAACGGGUGAGUAACACGUGAGUAACCUGUCCUUUUCUUUGGGAUAAGCUCCUGAAAGGGUGUUUAAUACCUUAUGUUCUGUCUGCCUCGCAUGGGGUGGGUGGGAAAGAUUUUUUCGGUGAAGGGUGGGCUCGCGGUCUAUCAGCUUGUUGGUGGGGUGAUGGCUUACCAAGGCUUUGACGGGUAGCCGGCCUGAGAGGGGGGGUGGAAAUGUGGGGCGGGAGAGACGCCCACGACGCGCGGGGGGGGGGGAGGUGGGGGAUGUGGCACAAGGGGGAAAAGCCGGAGCCGCGGGGGCGGGGGGGGGGAUGGGGGCCUUGGGUUUUUAAGUUUUUUUGGCUCAGAAGAAGGCUAAUCUUGGGGGGUUGUGGAGGGAGGGGGUGAAUAAGCGCCGGCUAACUCCGUG